GGAGAGUGAGAGAGAGAGUGAGAGGGAGCAUGGCGGCAGAUGGGGAGUGCUGGAGACUGAAAAUGCUGUUGCAAAUAGGCUUUCUGGGUCGGUGUGGGGAGCAGAGAGCGCGCACUGCUGAGAGGAGAAUCGUGACAGUCUGUUCUGGGGGAACAUCCAGCGUCUGUCAGCAUCGCUGACUUAUCUGUGUGAAUGAAAAUGUGAACAAACAGUGAAAUAAAGCGAUGCAGAUGCACAUGUCUGUCUCUGUGUUUAUGUAAUACAAGCACAUCACAUCUCAUCUCCCCUCUGCUCAAUGUUUUGGAUGGGGAACUUACUACGCCGGGGCGAUCUCGCGAGAGUGAGACGAGCCGCAAGCUGGGAUGGGGAUUGUAGUUUUUUUUUUUUUUUUUA
Long non-coding RNA from Salarias fasciatus (jewelled blenny), 393 nucleotides. RefSeq lists it as uncharacterized. The transcript is spliced from 3 exons. Lineage: Eukaryota; Metazoa; Chordata; Actinopteri; Blenniiformes; Blenniidae. The record is from RefSeq and is a predicted model, not a curated record.